This 638-nucleotide ribosomal RNA is filed under the name uncultured fungus. RNAcentral describes it as "eukaryotic LSU rRNA". The stretch from base 252 to 405 matches the Rfam family "5.8S ribosomal RNA". Lineage: Eukaryota; Fungi. The record is from RNAcentral.
CUUGGUCAUUUAGAGGAAGUAAAAGUCGUAACAAGGUCUCCGUUGGUGAACCAGCGGAGGGAUCAUUACCGAGUUUACAACUCCCAAACCCAAUGUGAACGUUACCAAACUGUUGCCUCGGCGGGGUCACGCCCCGGGUGCGUAAAAGCCCCGGAACCAGGCGCCCGCCGGAGGAACCAACCAAACUCUUUCUGUAGUCCCCUCGCGGACGUAUUUCUUACAGCUCUGAGCAAAAAUUCAAAAUGAAUCAAAACUUUCAACAACGGAUCUCUUGGUUCUGGCAUCGAUGAAGAACGCAGCGAAAUGCGAUAAGUAAUGUGAAUUGCAGAAUUCAGUGAAUCAUCGAAUCUUUGAACGCACAUUGCGCCCGCCAGUAUUCUGGCGGGCAUGCCUGUCCGAGCGUCAUUUCAACCCUCGAACCCCUCCGGGGGAUCGGCGUUGGGGAUCGGGACCCCUCACCGGGUGCCGGCCCUGAAAUACAGUGGCGGUCUCGCCGCAGCCUCUCCUGCGCAGUAGUUUGCACAACUCGCACCGGGAGCGCGGCGCGUCCACGUCCGUAAAACACUCAACUUCUGAAAUGUUGACCUCGGAUCAGGUAGGAAUACCCGCUGAACUUAAGCAUAUCAAUAAGCGGAGGA